CAGUCGCCGCGGUAAUACGAAGAGGGCUAGCGUUGUUCGGAAUUACUGGGCGUAAAGCGCACGUAGGCGGAUAUUUAAGUCAGGGGUGAAAUCCCGCAGCUCAACUGCGGAACUGCCUUUGAUACUGGGUAUCUUGAGUAUGGAAGAGGUUAGUGGAAUUGCGAGUGUAGAGGUGAAAUUCGUAGAUAUUCGCAGGAACACCAGUGGCGAAGGCGGCUAACUGGUCCAUAACUGACGCUGAGGUGCGAGAGCGUGGGGAGCAAACAGGAUUAGAUACCCCCGUAGUCCCUGUCUCUUAUAC
RNAcentral lists this ribosomal RNA (301 nucleotides) under uncultured bacterium. RNAcentral's name for it is "partial 16S ribosomal RNA". It matches the Rfam family "Bacterial small subunit ribosomal RNA", at positions 509 to 807 of the family's 1533-position model. The record is from RNAcentral.